This 468-nucleotide ribosomal RNA is filed under the name uncultured bacterium. Its description in RNAcentral is "partial 16S ribosomal RNA". It matches the Rfam family "Bacterial small subunit ribosomal RNA", at positions 28 to 507 of the family's 1533-position model. The record is from RNAcentral.
GACGAACGCUGGCGGCGUGCUUAACACAUGCAAGUCGAACGGAAAGGCCCUGCUUUUGUGGGGUGCUCGAGUGGCGAACGGGUGAGUAACACGUGAGUAACCUGCCCUUGACUUUGGGAUAACUUCAGGAAACUGGGGCUAAUACCGGAUAGGAGCUCCUGCUGCAUGGUGGGGGUUGGAAAGUUUCGGCGGUUGGGGAUGGACUCGCGGCUUAUCAGCUUGUUGGUGGGGUAGUGGCUUACCCAGGCUUUGACGGGUAGCCGGCCUGAGAGGGUGACCGGCCACAUUGGGACUGAGGUACGGCCCAGACUCCUACGGGAGGCAGCAGUGGGGAAUAUUGCACAAUGGGCGGAAGCCUGAUGCAGCAACGCCGCGUGCGGGAUGACGGCCUUCGGGUUGUAAACCGCUUUCGCCUGUGACGAAGCGUGAGUGACGGUAAUGGGUAAAGAAGCACUGGCUAACUACGUG